CGUUUUAUCUGACUGCUAGAUCAGAGUUUGUUUGGAUGGAAGGAAAAGAAGAGAUGUGGAGCUACUGUCUUCAUAAGAUCAGAUGUUGAGCAUGGUAUAAAGUUGCCUGUCAGCCCGUGGCCUGUGCUGUCUCAAAAACAGACACCAUCGGCAGCCAUUGUCCUGCUCCAACUUGAAUUAGUGUCAGGAUGAAGAAACUGAAGUUCAGCAAGGUG
Non-coding RNA from Microcebus murinus (gray mouse lemur), 215 nucleotides. NCBI's taxonomy places the organism in Eukaryota, Metazoa, Chordata, Mammalia, Primates, Cheirogaleidae. The record is from RefSeq and is a predicted model, not a curated record.